Long non-coding RNA from Diabrotica virgifera virgifera (western corn rootworm), 524 nucleotides. RefSeq lists it as uncharacterized. Lineage: Eukaryota; Metazoa; Arthropoda; Insecta; Coleoptera; Chrysomelidae. The record is from RefSeq and is a predicted model, not a curated record. The transcript is spliced from 3 exons.
UUUUGAAUAUUUUUAAUUCAGUUCCAACAUAUAUUUUUUGUUUUUCUAAUUACAAUAAAAAUGUAUGAAGAAGUAAAAGCAUUUUUAGAGUUUAUUGAUAAUAUUGGAGAAGAAAAUCGUCCGGGAAGUAUACAAAAGCGAUAUAUUCAAGAUAAAAAUAUAAUCUAAAAUACAAUGGAGUAUUACAAUAUUGAAGUUCAUCAGCGCAUUAACUUAAACAACAAAGGUUUUAUGCUACUUAUAGGAAUAUAACCAGUUUUUAUGAGGAAGCCCACUUUCCAAAAAUGUACAGGUACUAGAAGAGAAAUUACUGUUCAACUGAGAAUUAUGUAUAUUACUGUUCAACAACAAGUUUAUCAAGUUAUUCAAUAUUUGAUCUAAGAGCAUUAAGAGUGAAAUUGUGAAAUGGAAAGAAGUGAAAUUCCAGGAUUAUUAAUAGGAAUAGAUGACAGUAGUGGGUAUGCAUGCAGACACUAUCUACUUACCCCAGUAUUACAGCCAGGUAAUGAUCAAGAAAAUAAGAU